RNAcentral lists this ribosomal RNA (503 nucleotides) under uncultured bacterium. RNAcentral describes it as "partial 16S ribosomal RNA". It matches the Rfam family "Bacterial small subunit ribosomal RNA", at positions 30 to 523 of the family's 1533-position model. The record is from RNAcentral.
AUUGAACGCUGGCGGCAGGCUUAACACAUGCAAGUCGAGCGGGGUGAUGGUGCUUGCACUAUCACUUAGCGGCGGACGGGUGAGUAAUGCUUAGGAAUCUGCCUAUUAGUGGGGGACAACAUCUCGAAAGGGAUGCUAAUACCGCAUACGUCCUACGGGAGAAAGCAGGGGAUCACUUGUGACCUUGCGCUAAUAGAUGAGCCUAAGUCGGAUUAGCUAGUUGGUGGGGUAAAGGCCUACCAAGGCGACGAUCUGUAGCGGGUCUGAGAGGAUGAUCCGCCACACUGGAACUGCGACACGGCCCAGACUCCUACGGGAGGCAGCAGUGGGGAAUAUUGGACAAUGGGGGGAACCCUGAUCCAGCCAUGCCGCGUGUGUGAAGAAGGCCUUAUGGUUGUAAAGCACUUUAAGCGAGGGGGAGGCUCUUUUGGUUAAUACCCAAGAUGAGUGGACGUUACUCGCAGAAUAAGCACCGGCUAACUCUGUGCCAGCCGCCGCAGUAA